RNAcentral lists this long non-coding RNA (617 nucleotides) under Eucalyptus grandis. Its description in RNAcentral is "long non-coding RNA (EGRA_LNC003771)". Lineage: Eukaryota; Viridiplantae; Streptophyta; Magnoliopsida; Myrtales; Myrtaceae. The record is from RNAcentral.
CAGAAUCAAUCAUUUCCAUCAUUGAUUCGUCAGAGAUUUCUCCCCGGGACGCUGUAUCAGUUACAAUCCCCAAAUUUGACAGAGACGUACACAAGUUGAGAGAGAGAGAGAGAGAGAGAGAGAGAGAGAGAGAGAGUAUAACAUCGCUCUAAACCAAACCCCGAUUCGAAAUGACUCGGAUUCACCAAAUUGCAGAUGGAAUUAGCAGAAACAGUCUUUAGUUUCAUCAGCAACGCUGAUGCUCGCCGGGCACAGGAAGGACUUACGCAACUCCCACCGUCUUCUUCUUCUUCUUCUUGGCUCGAACCGGUUCAGCGCAAGUGGCGGAGGAGCAAAAACAAGAACCCAGGGCAAAACAGACCCAAUUCACGACGCGGUCCCACAUCAUCCUCUUCACCAGCCUCCUCUUCGCCGGAAUCACCCCUCCUCUCUUGGCUGAGAAACCCGCCUCUGUUCCUGCCGCCGCCGUCCUCGUCUUUGCCUCCUCCGAGACGCGCGACGCCUUCCCUAUAGCGUCGCCAUGACUCUCGCUCUUCUCCAUCGCUCUCGAUCACAGUUCUCUGCGAUGGAUCUCUUCUUUUCUUGAGAAAGUACAAGCUCCUUUAGCUCUCUCUCUC